ACGACACAGUGGCAGACGGGUGAGUAACGCGUGGGAACGUACCUUUCGCUACGGAAUAGCUCCGGGAAACUGGUGGUAAUACCGUAUACGCCCUUCGGGGGAAAGAUUUAUCGGCGAAAGAUCGGCCCGCGUUAGAUUAGGUAGUUGGUGGGGUAAUGGCCUACCAAGCCUACGAUCUAUAGCUGGUCUGAGAGGAUGAUCAGCCACACUGGGACUGAGAUACGGCCCAGACUCCUACGGGAGGCAGCAGUGGGGAAUCUUGCACAAUGGGCGAAAGCCUGAUGCAGCCAUGCCGCGUGAAUGAUGAAGGCCUUAGGGUUGUAAAAUUCUUUCGCCAGGGAUGAUAAUGACAGUACCUGGUAAAGAAGCCCCGGCUAACUUCGUGCCAGCAGCCGCGGUAAUACGAAGGGGGCUAGCGUUGUUCGGAAUUACUGGGCGUAAAGCGCACGUAGGCGGACUUUUAAGUCAGGUGUGAAAUCCCGGGGCUCAACCUCGGAACUGCAUUUGAAACUGGAAGUCUGGAGUUCAGGAGAGGUUAGCGGAAUACCGAGUGUAGAGGUGAAAUUCGUAGAUAUUCGGUGGAACACCAGUGGCGAAGGCGGCUAACUGG
RNAcentral lists this ribosomal RNA (610 nucleotides) under uncultured bacterium. Its description in RNAcentral is "bacterial SSU rRNA". It matches the Rfam family "Bacterial small subunit ribosomal RNA", at positions 87 to 732 of the family's 1533-position model. The record is from RNAcentral.